This 98-nucleotide transfer RNA is filed under the name Pedicularis chinensis. Its description in RNAcentral is "tRNA-Ser". Lineage: Eukaryota; Viridiplantae; Streptophyta; Magnoliopsida; Lamiales; Orobanchaceae. The record is from RNAcentral.
CGCACCCUGGGACGACUGAGUGCGUUUCAGGUUGGUUUGAGGCCGGCGAUGAUAGGUGGAUCUGGUAAUUGGUCUGUUCCGAUUCUGAUAGGUGCGCC